UGGGGAAUUUUGGACAAUGGGCGAAAGCCUGAUCCAGCAAUGCCGCGUGUGUGAAGAAGGCCUUCGGGUUGUAAAGCACUUUUGUCCGGAAAGAAAUCCUUGGCUCUAAUACAGUCGGGGGAUGACGGUACCGGAAGAAUAAGCACCGGCUAACUACGUGCCAGCAGCCGCGGUAAUACGUAGGGUGCAAGCGUUAAUCGGAAUUACUGGGCGUAAAGCGUGCGCAGGCGGUUUGCUAAGACCGAUGUGAAAUCCCCGGGCUCAACCUGGGAACUGCAUUGGUGACUGGGCAGGCUAGAGUAUGGCAGAGGGGGGUAGAAUUCCACGUGUAGCAGUGAAAUGCGUAGAGAUGUGGAGGAAUACCGAUGGCGAAGGCAGCCCCCUGGCCAAGUACUGACGCUCAUGCACGAAAGCGUGGGGAGCAAACAGGAUUAGAUACCCUGGUAGUCCACGCCCUAAACGAUGUCAACUAGUUGUUGGGGAUUCAUUUCCUUAGUAACGUAGCUAACGCGUGAAGUUGACCGCCUGGGGAGUACGGUCGCAAGAUUAAAACUCAAAGAAUUGAC
RNAcentral lists this ribosomal RNA (566 nucleotides) under uncultured bacterium. RNAcentral describes it as "partial 16S ribosomal RNA". It matches the Rfam family "Bacterial small subunit ribosomal RNA", at positions 355 to 914 of the family's 1533-position model. The record is from RNAcentral.